RNAcentral lists this long non-coding RNA (314 nucleotides) under Actinidia chinensis (golden kiwifruit). RNAcentral describes it as "long non-coding RNA (ACHI_LNC000630)". The record is from RNAcentral. Lineage: Eukaryota; Viridiplantae; Streptophyta; Magnoliopsida; Ericales; Actinidiaceae.
AUGGAGAUUGAUUACGCACGCGGCAAGUUCUCGGAGGGGUGGGAGAGAGAGGGGAAAGAUGAAGAACGGGCGGUGUCUUUCUCUCUCCUCCCUUCUCUCUCUAGUCUCUGUAUUCGCCUGAGUGAAUGAGGCAAGAAAGAGAAUAAGAAGGCAAGGACAAGAAUGCCUGUGUGAAUGAGCCAAGAGAGAGAAGAAGAAGAAGACGAGCUGACGAGGACAAGAAUGAAACUGCGUCUCUCUCUCUCUCCGCUGUCUUGCCCUCAAAUGACUUUAAAAUGGUCUCCUUUAGCUUGCAAUGGUUUUUUUUUUUUGGC